Molecule: unclassified non-coding RNA, 192 nt
Filed under: Rhodotorula toruloides
Lineage: Eukaryota; Fungi; Basidiomycota; Microbotryomycetes; Sporidiobolales; Sporidiobolaceae
Source: RNAcentral
GCCGUCAGCAUAACGGGAACACUCUUUGCAAGAGACGGAGAGUUGCGCACCUGGUCUUGGGUAGCAGGCCAUUGAGAUCCCGUUCCAUCCAGCAACUUGACCCCCUUCCCAUUCUGCGGCAGCGCCGGCUUCGUCGAAGUCUUGACCAUGUACUCGACCGCGACCGGUCCAUUCGAGUACCUCCCUCCGUAC